GCGGGGGUAGAGAAGUGGUUAUCUCGCCAGUCUCAUAAACUGGAAAUCGGUGGUUCAAAUCCAUCCUCCCGUA
This 73-nucleotide transfer RNA is filed under the name Patescibacteria group bacterium. RNAcentral describes it as "tRNA-Met". It matches the Rfam family "tRNA". Rfam says of the family: Transfer RNA (tRNA) molecules are approximately 80 nucleotides in length. Their secondary structure includes four short double-helical elements and three loops (D, anti-codon, and T loops). Further hydrogen bonds mediate the characteristic L-shaped molecular structure. tRNAs have two regions of fundamental functional importance: the anti-codon, which is responsible for specific mRNA codon recognition, and the 3' end, to which the tRNAs corresponding amino acid is attached (by aminoacyl-tRNA synthetases). tRNAs cope with the degeneracy of the genetic code in two manners: having more than one tRNA (with a specific anti-codon) for a particular amino acid; and 'wobble' base-pairing, i.e. permitting non-standard base-pairing at the 3rd anti-codon position. The record is from RNAcentral.